GAGUUUGAUCCUGGCUCAGGAUGAACGCUGGCGGCGUGCUUAACACAUGCAAGUCGAGCGAAGCAUUUAGGAUGAUCUCUUCGGAUUGAGUCUUAUAUGACUGAGCGGCGGACGGGUGAGUAACGCGUGGGUAACCUGCCUCAUACAGGGGGAUAACAGUUAGAAAUGACUGCUAAUACCGCAUAAGCGCACAGGGCUGCAUGGCCUGGUGUGAAAAACUCCGGUGGUAUGAGAUGGACCCGCGUCUGAUUAGCUAGUUGGAGGGGUAACGGCCCACCAAGGCGACGAUCAGUAGCCGGCCUGAGAGGGUGAACGGCCACAUUGGGACUGAGACACGGCCCAGACUCCUACGGGAGGCAGCAGUGGGGAAUAUUGCACGAUGGGGGAAACCCUGAUGCAGCGACGCCGCGUGAAGGAAGAAGUAUCUCGGUAUGUAAACUUCUAUCAGCAGGGAAGAAAAUGACGGUACCUGACUAAGAAG
Molecule: ribosomal RNA, 481 nt
Filed under: uncultured bacterium
Lineage: Bacteria
Description: bacterial SSU rRNA
Rfam family: Bacterial small subunit ribosomal RNA
Source: RNAcentral